GUAGUCAUAUGCUUGUCUCAAAGAUUAACACAUGAAAGUCUAAGUAUAAGCAAUUAUACAGCGAAACAGCGAACGGCUCAUUAUAUAAGUUAUCGUUUACUUGAUAGUGCCCUACUACUUGGAUAACCGUGGUAAUUCUAGAGCUAAUACAUGCUAAAGGCCCCGACUCACGGAGGGGUGUGUUUAUUAGAUUCAAAGCCAACGCCCUUCGGGGCUCACUGGUGAUUCAUAGUAACCUGUCGAAUCGCACGGCCCCGCGCCGGCGAUGGUUCAAUCAAGUUUCUUCCCUAUCAACUUUCGAUGUUUGGGUAUUGGCCAAACAUGGUGGCAACGGGUAACGGAGGGUUAGAGCUCGACCCCGGAGAGGGCGCAUGAGAAACGGCGCCCACAACUACGGUAGGCAUCAGUGGCGAAACUUACCCAAUCCCGUCCCGGGGAGGUAGUGACAAUAAAUACCGAUGCAGGGCCCUUUAGGGUCUUGCAAUUGGAAUGAGUACAGCUUAAACCCCUUAACGAGGAACAAUUGGAGGGCAAGUCUGGUGCCAGCAGCCGCGGUAAUUCCAGCUCCAAUAGCGUAUAUUAAAGUUGUUGUGGUUAAAAAGCUCGUAGUUGAACCUCGGGCCUGGCCGCCUGGUCCCCCUCACCGGGUGCACUGGCGCGGCCGGGCCCUUCCCCUCGCGGAGCCGCAUGCCCUUCACUGGGCGUGCCGGGGAAGCGGGACUUUUACCUUGAAAAAAUUAGAGUGCUCAAGGCAGGCCUUCGCUCGGAUACAUUAGCAUGGAAUAAUGGAAUAGGACGUCGGUCCCGUUUCGUUGGUUUCUGGGACCGCCGUAAUGAUUAAUAGGAACAAUCGGGGGCGUCAGUAUUCGGCCGUCAGAGGUGAAAUUCUUAGAUUGGCCGAAGACUAACUACUGCGAAAGCAUUCGCCAAGGGUGUUUUCAUUAAUCAGGAACGAAAGUUAGGGGAUCGAAGACGAUCAGAUACCGUCGUAGUCUUAACCAUAAACUUUGCCGACUAGGGAUCGGGCGGUGUUGAUAUUUGACCCGUUCGGCACCUUACGAGAAAUCAAAGUGCUUGGGCUCCAGGGGGAGUAUGGUCGCAAGGCUGAAACUUAAAGGAAUUGACGGAAG
Molecule: ribosomal RNA, 1130 nt
Filed under: Bertia moriformis
Lineage: Eukaryota; Fungi; Ascomycota; Sordariomycetes; Coronophorales; Bertiaceae
Description: bacterial SSU rRNA
Rfam family: Eukaryotic small subunit ribosomal RNA
Source: RNAcentral